CUCCACAAAUAAUGACAAGCUGAUUCGGUUUUAAUUGAGAAAAUUAGGCUAGCCACUUUGAUAAGUAUCUUCAAGUCAAGCCGGCCGCUUCCCUUUAGCGUCCACAUUUGCAACAAUUUUCUCCUUCUUGAUGCUCACGUUAACCAAAAUCUGAAGCUCCUCUUCGUCACUUAUCGUUACCCGAGAUUUGAACAUGCGGGACAUUUCUUCAGCAGUGUCAUUCAUCACGGGGUUAGGAAAUGUUGCGCUAUCACGACUACAUUGACCGCUUGAGUUUUCUUUCACGACCCACUCCCAAAAUCCACAAUUCCGGCUGCAGCAAAGGAAUAGUUUCCCCUUAUUGUGAUUUUCCUUCUCCACCACAAAACAUUUUUCAAAUCCAUACUUACAUCGAGGGCAAGGGCGUUUCUUUCUGCAUUCGGCAAACAUAUGAUCCUUAGCUCUACAACUAUGACAGAUUCCGGAGUUCCUUCCGGGCAUUCUACGAUGGGAAUAAAAAAUCAUACCAAAUUCAGAAUACUCGGACCAUAGCAUGUAUCAACAGCCAACAUAAAACCAG
Molecule: long non-coding RNA, 559 nt
Filed under: Olea europaea subsp. europaea
Lineage: Eukaryota; Viridiplantae; Streptophyta; Magnoliopsida; Lamiales; Oleaceae
Source: RNAcentral